GACGAACGCUGGCGGCGUGCUUAACACAUGCAAGUCGAACGCUGAAGACCUGGCUUUUGUUGGGUUGGAUGAGUGGCGAACGGGUGAGUAACACGUGAGUAACCUGCCCUCUUCUUUGGGAUAACGCCCGGAAACGGGUGCUAAUACUAGAUAUUCACUGGCCUUCGCAUGGGGGUUGGUGGAAAGGUUUGUUCUGGUGGGGGAUGGGCUCGCGGCCUAUCAGCUUGUUGGUGGGGUGAUGGCCUACCAAGGCUUUGACGGGUAGCCGGCCUGAGAGGGUGACCGGUCACAUUGGGACUGAGAUACGGCCCAGACUCCUACGGGAGGCAGCAGUGGGGAAUAUUGCACAAUGGGCGAAAGCCUGAUGCAGCGACGCCGCGUGAGGGAUGGAGGCCUUCGGGUUGGAAACCUCUUUCGCUCAUGGUCAAGCCGCAACUGUGGGUUGUGGUGAGGGUAGUGGGUAAAGAAGCGCCGGCUAACUACGUG
RNAcentral lists this ribosomal RNA (486 nucleotides) under uncultured bacterium. RNAcentral describes it as "partial 16S ribosomal RNA". It matches the Rfam family "Bacterial small subunit ribosomal RNA", at positions 28 to 507 of the family's 1533-position model. The record is from RNAcentral.